GUUGCCAUGGUUAUCCGUACUAAUGUAGCUGUUUUCACUUUAGCUAGCAUGUUGCCAAUCAGUGGACUACAUCUGUUUGUCGCAGCGAGUUAAAAUAAGUUAUUCUACUAAUCAGACAUUAGUGAAUGAGACGCGUUUUAAGGACCCAUAAGGAUUGAAUACGGGUGACAUGCGCAGUAGAGUGACUGCUGACGCGACAUGACGUCGACUGACGUUGCUGGAACUUCAACUUCUAUUCAGGCAGCAGGUCUGAACCGGCGUUGUCAGCACAGAUUUAGUGUUCAGGAGUUGGAGGUUGGGUGAAGGCGCUGGUCGACGUCAAUCCUCAGAAAACAACACAAACCAACACGGCGGUUGCCCAGUGUUCCCAGUGUUCCCAGGCUGGUUGAAGUUUUGCCUGGAUGGCGGUGGUGACACCACUGACACUUGAUUCCUCCGCUGAGGUUAGCCCAAAUGGUCUCUGCUUGUCGUUUCCCCAGACACAACACGAGCUGGUGACAGGAUUUGACUUUUCUCACACUUUAGACGAUGUUUCUGUGCAGCUCUGUCUCAGAGUUUGAGCCUCCGGACCACCUUGUAAAGUGCAGCUGUCUUGAGCGUAAGCCCUCCUCCGGCUAAUCCACUUGUAAUGAUACUGUAAUCAUCAGAGAGAAAGCAGCUCUGGUGAAACUUUUCCCAGGAUGCCAGGAUUCUGUAUUAUGAAUGUGACAUCAGGAAACGAGCUUAUGUGUUAUGUAACGUAAUGUUUCACAGUGCUGGAAUGGUUCUCAGUCCAACAAUCAAUGGGAAUGGAUGGAAAGAAAUGGGCGAGAAAACACUGAAGAACUAAAACGUGCAGAAUCAAACUAAACACUUUUUUCACUUCCGAUACUAAUA
Long non-coding RNA from Gambusia affinis (western mosquitofish), 876 nucleotides. RefSeq lists it as uncharacterized. NCBI's taxonomy places the organism in Eukaryota, Metazoa, Chordata, Actinopteri, Cyprinodontiformes, Poeciliidae. The transcript is spliced from 4 exons. The record is from RefSeq and is a predicted model, not a curated record.